Molecule: ribosomal RNA, 450 nt
Filed under: uncultured bacterium
Lineage: Bacteria
Description: bacterial SSU rRNA
Rfam family: Bacterial small subunit ribosomal RNA
Source: RNAcentral
AACGAACGCUGGCGGCAUGCCUAACACAUGCAAGUCGAACGAGACCUUCGGGUCUAGUGGCGCACGGGUGCGUAACGCGUGGGAAUCUGCCCUUGGGUUCGGAAUAACAGUUAGAAAUGACUGCUAAUACCGGAUAAUGUCUUCGGACCAAAGAUUUAUCGCCCAGGGAUGAGCCCGCGUAGGAUUAGCUAGUUGGUGAGGUAAAGGCUCACCAAGGCGACGAUCCUUAGCUGGUCUGAGAGGAUGAUCAGCCACACUGGGACUGAGACACGGCCCAGACUCCUACGGGAGGCAGCAGUGGGGAAUAUUGGACAAUGGGCGAAAGCCUGAUCCAGCAAUGCCGCGUGAGUGAUGAAGGCCUUAGGGUUGUAAAGGACUCUUUUACCCGGAUGAUAAUGACAGUACCGGGAGAAUAAGCCCGGCUAACUCCGUGCCAGCAGCCGCGGUAAU